RNAcentral lists this ribosomal RNA (1480 nucleotides) under metagenome. Its description in RNAcentral is "bacterial LSU rRNA". It matches the Rfam family "Bacterial large subunit ribosomal RNA", at positions 1465 to 2925 of the family's 2925-position model. The record is from RNAcentral.
UGUGGGGACGGAGAAGGUUAGGUCUACCAGGCGUUGGUUGUCCUGGGGAAAGGAGGUAGGCGGUGAUCUUAGGCAAAUCCGGGAUCACUUACGCCGAGCACCGAGACGAGUCCUAUGAGGACGAAGUGACUGACACCACGCUUCCAGGAAAAGCCACUAAGCUUCAGCUUAAGAAAAACCGUACCGCAAACCGACACAGGUAGGCAGGGUGAGAAUCCCAAGGCGCUUGAGAGAACUCGGGUGAAGGAACUAGGCAAAAUGGCACCGUAACUUCGGGAGAAGGUGCGCCCUUUGGUGUGGUCACGUGCGUGACUGAGCAUUGAAGGGUCGCAGUAACCUGGCCGCUGCGACUGUUUAUCAAAAACACAGCACUCUGCAAACACGAAAGUGGACGUAUAGGGUGUGACGCCUGCCCGGUGCUGGAAGGUUAAUUGAUGGGGUCAGCCGCAAGGCGAAGCUCUUGAUCGAAGCCCCAGUAAACGGCGGCCGUAACAAUAACGGUCCUAAGGUAGCGAAAUUCCUUGUCGGGUAAGUUCCGACCUGCACGAAUGGCGUAACGACAGCGGCGCUGUCUCCACCCGAGACUCAGUGAAAUUGAAAUCGCUGUGAAGAUGCAGCGUUCCCGCGGCAAGACGGAAAGACCCCGUGAACCUUUACUAUAGCUUUACACUGAACGUUGAGUUCUUCUGUGUAGGAUAGGUGGGAGGCUAUGAAACCAGGACGCUAGUUCUGGUGGAGCCAUCCUUGAAAUACCACCCUGAAGUGCUUGACGUUCUAACCUAGGCCCGUAAUCCGGGUCAGGGACCGUGUAUGGUGGGUAGCUUGACUGGGGCGGUCUCCUCCCAAAGAGUAACGGAGGAGCACGAAGGUACGCUCAGCGCGGUCGGACAUCGCGCACUGUGUGCAAAGGCAUAAGCGUGCUUGACUGCGAGAUCGACGGAUCAAGCAGGUACGAAAGUAGGUCUUAGUGAUCCGGUGGUUCUGUAUGGAAGGGCCAUCGCUCAACGGAUAAAAGGUACUCCGGGGAUAACAGGCUGAUACCGCCCAAGAGUUCAUAUCGACGGCGGUGUUUGGCACCUCGAUGUCGGCUCAUCACAUCCUGGGGCUGUAGCCGGUCCCAAGGGUAUGGCUGUUCGCCAUUUAAAGUGGUACGCGAGCUGGGUUCAGAACGUCGUGAGACAGUUCGGUCCCUAUCUGUCGUGGGCGUUGGAGAUUUGAGGGGGGCUGCUCCUAGUACGAGAGGACCGGAGUGGACGUUCCGCUGGUGUUCGGGUUGUCAUGCCCAUGGCAUUGCCCGGUAGCUACGAACGGAAGUGAUAACCGCUGAAAGCAUCUAAGCGGGAAGCACGCCCCAAGAUGAGAUCUCCCGAGAGCUUGACUCUCCUAAAGGCACCAUCAAGACUAGGUGGUUGAUAGGUCAGGUGUGGAAGCGCAGCAAUGCGUUGAGCUAACUGAUACUAAUGAGCCGUGAGGCUUGACC